ACGCUCGACACCUACAGGAGGCAGCAGUAGGGAAUCUUCCACAAUGGGCGCAAGCCUGAUGGAGCAACACCGCGUGAGUGAAGAAGGGUUUCGGCUCGUAAAGCUCUGUUGUUGGAGAAGAACGUGCGUGAGAGUAACUGUUCACGCAGUGACGGUAUCCAACCAGAAAGUCACGGCUAACUACGUGCCAGCAGCCGCGGUAAUCUGAGCGGGCUGGCAAGGC
This 223-nucleotide ribosomal RNA is filed under the name uncultured bacterium. Its description in RNAcentral is "partial 16S ribosomal RNA". It matches the Rfam family "Bacterial small subunit ribosomal RNA", at positions 328 to 539 of the family's 1533-position model. The record is from RNAcentral.